GUGGGGAAUAUUGCGCAAUGGGGGAAACCCUGACGCAGCAACGCCGCGUGAGUGAUGAAGGCCUUUGGGUUGUAAAGCUCUGUCGGCUGUGAAGAAAAAGCCCCCUUCGAAUAGGUGGGGGUAAUGACUGUAGCAGCAAAGGAAGCACCGGCUAACUUCGUGCCAGCAGCCGCGGUAAUACGAAGGGUGCAAGCGUUGUUCGGAAUCAUUGGGCGUAAAGGGCGCGUAGGCUGUUUAAUUAGUCAGUGGUGAAAUCCUAUAGCUUAACUAUAGAAGUGCCAUUGAAACUGUUAAACUAGAGUAUCUCAGAGGAAGGCGGAAUUCCUAGUGUAGAAGUGAAAUUCGUAGAUAUUAGGAGGAACACCGGAGGCGAAGGCGGCCUUCUGGGAGGUAACUGACGCUGAUGCGCGAAAGCGUGGGGAUCAAACAGGAUUAGAAACCCCAGUAGUCC
RNAcentral lists this ribosomal RNA (451 nucleotides) under uncultured bacterium. RNAcentral's name for it is "bacterial SSU rRNA". It matches the Rfam family "Bacterial small subunit ribosomal RNA", at positions 354 to 796 of the family's 1533-position model. The record is from RNAcentral.